RNAcentral lists this unclassified non-coding RNA (167 nucleotides) under Moritella viscosa. Its description in RNAcentral is "putative sRNA". Lineage: Bacteria; Pseudomonadati; Pseudomonadota; Gammaproteobacteria; Alteromonadales; Moritellaceae. The record is from RNAcentral.
AAAUAAAUUAGGCGGCUUUUUAUUACCCUCUUUUAAUUUAAAGUCCAUCGUGAACUUUAUGAACAAAAUAGCCACAACGCCGUUAAUUGCCAUUAUUUACAGUUUCCAUCCCGUCACAACGUUACCGAUAACACUAGCGUAACAUUGCACGUCAUUAGCGUUAACCG